RNAcentral lists this ribosomal RNA (260 nucleotides) under uncultured archaeon. Its description in RNAcentral is "partial 16S ribosomal RNA". It matches the Rfam family "Archaeal small subunit ribosomal RNA", at positions 748 to 1013 of the family's 1478-position model. The record is from RNAcentral.
CAGCCGUAAACUAUGCGCGUUAGGUGUAUCGGUGACCACGAGUCACCGAGGUGCCGAAGGGAAACCGUGAAACGUGCCGCCUGGGAAGUACGGUCGCAAGGCUGAAACUUAAAGGAAUUGGCGGGGGAGCACAACAACGGGUGGAGCCUGCGGUUUAAUUGGACUCAACGCCGGGAAGCUCACCGGAUAAGACAGCGGAAUGAUUGCCGGGCUGAAGACUCUGCAUGACUAGCUGAGAGGAGGUGCAUGGCGUAGUCGUG